AACGUAGGACGCAAGCGUUAUCCGGAGUUACUGGGCGUAAAGCGCGGGCAGGCGGUUCUUUAAGUCUGAUGUGAAAUCUCCCGGCUCAACCGGGAGCAGCCAUUGGAAACUAGGGAACUGGAGGGCGAGAGAGGUAGGCGGAAUUCCGGGUGGAGUGGUGAAAUGCGUAGAGAUCCGGAGGAACACCAGAGGCGAAGGCGGCCUACUGGCUCGCACCUGACGCUGAGCCGCGAAAGCCAGGGGAGCGAACGGG
Molecule: ribosomal RNA, 253 nt
Filed under: uncultured bacterium
Lineage: Bacteria
Also listed under: 1 other name
Description: partial 16S ribosomal RNA
Rfam family: Bacterial small subunit ribosomal RNA
Source: RNAcentral